GACGAACGCUGGCGGCGUGCCUAAUACAUGCAAGUAGAACGCUGAAGGAGGAGCUUGCUCUUCUGGAUGAGUUGCGAACGGGUGAGUAACGCGUAGGUAACCUGCCUGGUAGCGGGGGAUAACUAUUUGAAACGAUAGCUAAUACCGCAUAAGAGUAGAUGUUGCAUGACAUUUGCUUAAAAGGUGCAAUUGCAUCACUACCAGAUGGACCUGCGUUGUAUUAGCUAGUUGGUGGGGUAACGGCUCACCAAGGCGACGAUACAUAGCCGACCUGAGAGGGGGAUCGGCCACACUGGGAAUGAGACACGGCCCAGACUCCUACGGGAGGCAGCAGUAGGGGAUCUUCGGCAAUGGACGGAAGUCUGACCGAGCAACGCCGCGUGAGUGAAGAAGGUUUUCGGAUCGUAAAGCUCUGUUGUAAGAGAAGAACGAGUGUGAGAGUGGAAAGUUCACACUGUGACGGUAUCUUACCAGAAAGGGACGGCUAACUACGUG
This 495-nucleotide ribosomal RNA is filed under the name uncultured bacterium. RNAcentral's name for it is "partial 16S ribosomal RNA". It matches the Rfam family "Bacterial small subunit ribosomal RNA", at positions 28 to 507 of the family's 1533-position model. The record is from RNAcentral.